GAUGAACGCUGGCGGCGUGCCUAAUACAUGCGAGUCGAGCGAACAGACGAGAAGCUUGCUUCUCUGACGUUAGCGGCGGACGGGUGAGUAACACGUGGAUAACCUACCUAUAAGACUGGGAUAACUUCGGGAAACCGGAGCUAAUACCGGAUAAUAUAUUGAACCGCAUGGUUCAAUAGUGAAAGACGGUCUUGCUGUCACUUAUAGAUGGAUCCGCGCCGCAUUAGCUAGUUGGUAAGGUAACGGCUUACCAAGGCAACGAUGCAUAGCCGACCUGAGAGGGUGAUCGGCCACACUGGAACUGAGACACGGUCCAGACUCCUACGGGAGGCAGCAGUAGGGAAUCUUCCGCAAUGGGCGAAAGCCUGACGGAGCAACGCCGCGUGAGUGAUGAAGGUCUUCGGAUCGUAAAACUCUGUUAUUAGGGAAGAACAAAUGUGUAAGUAACUAUGCACGUCUUGACGGUACCUAAUCAGAAAGCCACGGCUAACUACGUG
RNAcentral lists this ribosomal RNA (497 nucleotides) under uncultured bacterium. RNAcentral describes it as "partial 16S ribosomal RNA". It matches the Rfam family "Bacterial small subunit ribosomal RNA", at positions 28 to 507 of the family's 1533-position model. The record is from RNAcentral.